CAUGGUUAAGUGGGAAACGAUGUGGGAAGGCCCAGACAGCCAGGAUGUUGGCUUAGAAGCAGCCAUCAUUUAAAGAAAGCGUAAUAGCUCACUGGUCGAGUCGGCCUGCGCGGAAGAUGUAACGGGGCUAAACCAUGCACCGAAGCUGCGGCAGCGACGCUUAUGCGUUGUUGGGUAGGGGAGCGUUCUGUAAGCCUGUGAAGGUGUGCUGUGAGGUAUGCUGGAGGUAUCAGAAGUGCGAAUGCUGACAUAAGUAACGAUAAAGCGGGUGAAAAGCCCGCUCGCCGGAAGACCAAGGGUUCCUGUCCAACGUUAAUCGGGGCAGGGUGAGUCGACCCCUAAGGCGAGGCCGAAAGGCGUAGUCGAUGGGAAACAGGUUAAUAUUCCUGUACUUGGUGUUACUGCGAAGGGGGGACGGAGAAGGCUAUGUUGGCCGGGCGACGGUUGUCCCGGUUUAAGCGUGUAGGCUGGUUUUCCAGGCAAAUCCGGAAAAUCAAGGCCGAGGCGUGAUGACGAGGCACUACGGUGCUGAAGCAACAAAUGCCCUGCUUCCAGGAAAAGCCUCUAAGCAUCAGGUAACAUCAAAUCGUACCCCAAACCGACACAGGUGGUCAGGUAGAGAAUACCAAGGCGCUUGAGAGAACUCGGGUGAAGGAACUAGGCAAAAUGGUGCCGUAACUUCGGGAGAAGGCACGCUGAUACGUAGGUGAAGCGACUUGCUCGUGGAGCUGAAAUCAGUCGAAGAUACCAGCUGGCUGCAACUGUUUAUUAAAAACACAGCACUGUGCAAACACGAAAGUGGACGUAUACGGUGUGACGCCUGCCCGGUGCCGGAAGGUUAAUUGAUGGGGUUAGCGCAAGCGAAGCUCUUGAUCGAAGCCCCGGUAAACGGCGGCCGUAACUAUAACGGUCCUAAGGUAGCGAAAUUCCUUGUCGGGUAAGUUCCGACCUGCACGAAUGGCGUAAUGAUGGCCAGGCUGUCUCCACCCGAGACUCAGUGAAAUUGAACUCGCUGUGAAGAUGCAGUGUACCCGCGGCAAGACGGAAAGACCCCGUGAACCUUUACUAUAGCUUGACACUGAACAUUGAGCCUUGAUGUGUAGGAUAGGUGGGAGGCUUUGAAGUGUGGACGCCAGUCUGCAUGGAGCCGACCUUGAAAUACCACCCUUUAAUGUUUGAUGUUCUAACGUGGACCCGUGAUCCGGGUUGCGGACAGUGUCUGGUGGGUAGUUUGACUGGGGCGGUCUCCUCCUAAAGAGUAACGGAGGAGCACGAAGGUUGGCUAAUCCUGGUCGGACAUCAGGAGGUUAGUGCAAUGGCAUAAGCCAGCUUGACUGCGAGCGUGACGGCGCGAGCAGGUGCGAAAGCAGGUCAUAGUGAUCCGGUGGUUCUGAAUGGAAGGGCCAUCGCUCAACGGAUAAAAGGUACUCCGGGGAUAACAGGCUGAUACCGCCCAAGAGUUCAUAUCGACGGCGGUGUUUGGCACCUCGAUGUCGGCUCAUCACAUCCUGGGGCUGAAGUAGGUCCCAAGGGUAUGGCUGUUCGCCAUUUAAAGUGGUACGCGAGCUGGGUUUAGAACGUCGUGAGACAGUUCGGUCCCUAUCUGCCGUGGGCGCUGGAGAACUGAGGGGGGCUGCUCCUAGUACGAGAGGACCGGAGUGGACGCAUCACUGGUGUUCGGGUUGUCAUGCCAAUGGCACUGCCCGGUAGCUAAAUGCGGAAGAGAUAAGUGCUGAAAGCAUCUAAGCACGAAACUUGCCCCGAGAUGAGUUCUCCCUGACCCUUUAAGGGUCCUGAAGGAACGUUGAAGACGACGACGUUGAUAGGCCGGGUGUGUAAGCGCAGCGAUGCGUUGAGCUAACCGGUACUAAUGAACCGUGAGGCU
RNAcentral lists this ribosomal RNA (1885 nucleotides) under Shigella flexneri. RNAcentral's name for it is "partial 23S ribosomal RNA". It matches the Rfam family "Bacterial large subunit ribosomal RNA", at positions 1054 to 2925 of the family's 2925-position model. The record is from RNAcentral. Lineage: Bacteria; Pseudomonadati; Pseudomonadota; Gammaproteobacteria; Enterobacterales; Enterobacteriaceae.